GACGAACGCUGGCGGCAUGCCUAACACAUGCAAGUCGAGCGAGCAGAUCCCUUCGGGGUGAAGCUAGCGGCGAACGGGUGAGUAACACGUGGGCAACCUACCUCAUCGAGGGGAAUAGCCUUCCGAAAGGAAGAUUAAUCCCCCAUAAGAUUGUAGCUUCGCAUAAAACCACACUUAACGGAGCAAUCCGCUAUGAGAUGGGCCCGCGGCGGAUUAGGUAGUUGGUGAGGUAACGGCUCACCAAGGCGACGAUGCGUAGCCGACCUGAGAGGGUGAUCGGCCACAUUGGGACUGAGACACGGCCCAGACUUCUACGGGAGGCAGCAGUGGGGAAUAUUGCACAAUGGGGGAAACCCUGAUGCAGCAAUGCCGCGUGAGUGAUGACGGCCUUCGGGUUGUAAAGCUCUGUUUCCGGGGACGAUAAUGACGGUACCCGAGGAGGAAGCCACGGCUAACUACGUGCCAGCAGCCACAGUAA
RNAcentral lists this ribosomal RNA (478 nucleotides) under uncultured bacterium. Its description in RNAcentral is "partial 16S ribosomal RNA". It matches the Rfam family "Bacterial small subunit ribosomal RNA", at positions 28 to 523 of the family's 1533-position model. The record is from RNAcentral.